Long non-coding RNA from Scylla paramamosain (green mud crab), 1013 nucleotides. RefSeq lists it as uncharacterized. The record is from RefSeq and is a predicted model, not a curated record. NCBI's taxonomy places the organism in Eukaryota, Metazoa, Arthropoda, Malacostraca, Decapoda, Portunidae. The transcript has 5 exons.
AGUGUGGCAGGCCUGGAAAUUAAUUAAUCUGACACAUUAGAUCAAGGAUGGCAAGACAAAUCUUAAGUGUGUAAAAUCAAAGUCAAAUAUCAUAUUCUUGGUAAAACAGGAUGACCAGCAAACAAGCUGUAACCUUCACUCUUGCCAGCAUGUAAUUACGAAGUUAAUAGUGGCCCUCAAGGCAUAAUUAUCCAUUGAAACCAUUCGAAACUGACAACCCUGCAUUAGAUGUUCUUAUAAGGUUAGCCUGGCUCUGGGAAACGCCAAACCGACGCCUUGACAACCCAGACGAGGCAACGAGUGAUGUGGCAGAGUGGUGGUGGUGGUGGUAGUAGUGGUGGCUCCUGUUUCGGUGUCUUGGGUGAGAAGUGAAUCCUGGCAAGCUGGUGAAGCCGAACAGAGGCCACGUCCACCCUUCGCUGAGUGUGGGCUUCUCACUCCACCCUCGUCCUCCGCCCAGGAUGUGACCGUGAAGGGAAGACCAUGAGGGGAACGAUAGACGAACGUUUUAAGAGGUAACCGUGAGUGAGCGCAUCUGAGGCUCCGUGUAGACGUGGCGGAGGUUGUCUCGGUUAAAGCGGUGAAUCCCGUGAAGUCGGACAGAUGCCAGAUUCGCUCAUCAUUGCAUGCCAAGGAGAGAAGCUUCACAGUGACGGCAUUCCACCUCCCCACGCUCUGAACAGCAGCAGCAACCAGACACCACCACCACCACCACCAUCAUGACAGCAGCCAUUACUACUCCCAGGAUGAAUGGUUAUCAACACCAGCCGCAGCAUCCGCCACCAACCAACCCCUCACGCUGUCAUGGGCAGCUGCAGCUCCAGGGGAGGAAGCUUGUGGAAGCCUUCACAGCUUGGACAUCAUCACCUCACUCUCCAUCCAUAUACACCUGUGUAAUAAAAUGUGUCAGACUUGGCUGGCCACUGGUUGUGGUAAACAAGCUUCCCUGUGUUGUAAGAGUUCAGAGGACUCCCAAUUUUUAUUUUUUUUUAAUAAAAUUUCUGGCUGGCAAA